UNGGAGCUAACUGGAAACGGUGUCAUGC
Molecule: non-coding RNA, 28 nt
Filed under: Mus musculus (house mouse)
Lineage: Eukaryota; Metazoa; Chordata; Mammalia; Rodentia; Muridae
Source: RNAcentral